This 274-nucleotide ribosomal RNA is filed under the name uncultured bacterium. RNAcentral's name for it is "partial 16S ribosomal RNA". It matches the Rfam family "Bacterial small subunit ribosomal RNA", at positions 523 to 796 of the family's 1533-position model. The record is from RNAcentral.
AUACGAAGGGGGCUAGCGUUGUUCGGAAUUACUGGGCGUAAAGCGCGUGUAGGCGGAUCGUUAAGUCAGGGGUGAAAGCCCGGGGCUCAACCCCGGAACUGCCCUUGAUACUGGCGAUCUAGAGUCCGGAAGAGGUGGGCGGAAUUCCCGGUGUAGAGGUGAAAUUCGUAGAUAUCGGGAGGAACACCAGUGGCGAAGGCGGCUCACUGGUCCGGUACUGACGCUGAGACGCGAAAGCGUGGGGAGCAAACAGGAUUAGAAACCCUAGUAGUCC